This is a long non-coding RNA of Girardinichthys multiradiatus, 433 nucleotides long. RefSeq lists it as uncharacterized. NCBI's taxonomy places the organism in Eukaryota, Metazoa, Chordata, Actinopteri, Cyprinodontiformes, Goodeidae. The transcript has 3 exons. The record is from RefSeq and is a predicted model, not a curated record.
GCCAGACUUUUCAUUGUCUGAUCAGUGGGAUGUAGUGACCCUGAACAAAAAUAAAGAGGAAGAAAAAUACAUUUUUGACGCCGUUCUGGUCUGUUCAGGACACUAUACUCAUCCAGCAGUUGCCCUGUCUGACAUUCAAGGACCUGAAACAUUCUGUGGCAGAGUUCUUCAUAGCUGGGAAUAUAAUGAUGCAGAUUGCUUCAAGGGGAAAAGGGUGGUCGUUGUUGGCAUUGGUAACUCUGGAGGAGAUGUUACAGUCAAGAUUAACAGAUCUGCAGAGAAGACAUUUUUCAGUAUACGGGAGAGGGCCUGGGUGAUUAGCAGAUUGGGGCGUAAUGGCCUUCCUGUGGAUAUGGUACUAAUGUCCAGGUUCAACAACCUCCUACUACAGCUGCUCCAGAAGACAUUUAUCAACUGGGCAGUAGAGAGAACA